UGGGUCAUUAGAGGAAGUAAAAGUCGUAACAAGGGUUUCCGUAGGUGAACCUGCGGAAGGAUCAUUAUUGAAUAAACCUGAUGUGGUUGUAGCUGGCCCUUUCGGGAGCAUGUGCACACCCGUCGUCUUUAUCUUUCCACCUGUGCACCUUUUGUAGACCUGGAUGUAACACUUUCCGAGGCAACUCGGUCGGGAGGAAUGCUGUCAGCUUUCCUUGAAUGUCCAGGCCUAUGUUUUCAUAUACCCCAAAGAAUGUAACAGAAUGUAUUAUUGGGCCUUGUGCCUAUAAACUAUAUACAACUUUCAGCAACGGAUCUCUUGGCUCUCGCAUCGAUGAAGAACGCAGCGAAAUGCGAUAAGUAAUGUGAAUUGCAGAAUUCAGUGAAUCAUCGAAUCUUUGAACGCACCUUGCGCUCCUUGGUAUUCCGAGGAGCAUGCCUGUUUGAGUGUCAUUAAAUUCUCAACCUUACCAGCUUUUGUUGGUAAUGGCUUGGAUGGGGGGGGUCUUUUGCUGGCUUCGUAAAGAGGUCUGCUCCCCUUAAAUGCAUUAGCCGGUGCCCUGCGUGGAUCCGUCUAUUGGUGUGAUAAUUAUCUACGCCGUGGACGUCUGCUUUAAAUGGGACGCACUGCUUCUAACCGUCCGUUCAGUUGGACAAUCAAUGACAAUUUGACCUCAAAUCAGGUAGGACUACCCGCUGAACUUAAGCAUAUCAAUAAGCGGGAGGAA
Molecule: ribosomal RNA, 727 nt
Filed under: uncultured fungus
Lineage: Eukaryota; Fungi
Description: eukaryotic LSU rRNA
Rfam family: 5.8S ribosomal RNA (bases 299-452)
Source: RNAcentral